This 659-nucleotide long non-coding RNA is filed under the name Bos taurus (domestic cattle). Its description in RNAcentral is "long non-coding RNA NONBTAT022777". The record is from RNAcentral. Lineage: Eukaryota; Metazoa; Chordata; Mammalia; Artiodactyla; Bovidae.
CCUUCUCUUUAUUGUAACCCAUAGUUUGGCAUGAAGCAGUUAGGUUUGCGGAGGCCAGAUGAUGAUGUUCAACGGGUCACUGAUGCGCCCCCCUCAUACGUCAUGUGGCAGUUGGCAAUGCUCCUGUGAUAGCAUCAGGCUGAGUGCCUAGUAAAUCAUGAGUCUUGUCCAGAAGUUAAUACUGCUUGCUGGAGAACUGGAGCAGAGCCUGUGCAAGGCUAAUACACCUUAGUGUCCUGUUCAUUUACUCUCAGUUGUUUAUCCAGGCUUUAUAAACAUUAGCACAAGCAGCAGCCUGAUUAAUAUGUUUUUCUCUAUGUGCUAAUUAAUAGAUGCUAUGGUGAAGGAAGAUCUUUCCAAAAUAAAAUAUUGGAACUCAUUAAAAGUGGAUAUAGUUCCAAGUCUAAAAAAUUUGGGGAGUGUGUUAUCUCUGUCAUAUUUGUCUUAUGUGGUCUUCUCAUCUUAAGGGUUAUAGUAAUCAAAAAAUCUGACUAGUUUUGAUUUGUUACUUAGCAAAAUUCAUUUGAAAACAUCAGCUGUCAUGCUUAAAAUAUGGUAUGUUUUUUAACUAUAAAAAAUGUAUUUUGAUCUUACUUAUUUCUGUAUGAAAUUUCAAAACUUGGAGGUUAGGGCUGUGAGAGCCGGGGAAGUGACCAUCA